Molecule: ribosomal RNA, 397 nt
Filed under: uncultured bacterium
Lineage: Bacteria
Description: partial 16S ribosomal RNA
Rfam family: Bacterial small subunit ribosomal RNA
Source: RNAcentral
AUACGUAGGGGGCAAGCGUUAUCCGGAAUUACUGGGUGUAAAGGGAGCGCAGACGGCUAAGCAAGUCUGAUGUGAAAGUCAUGGGCUCAACCCAUGGAUUGCAUUGGAAACUGCGAAGCUGGAGUGUCGGAGGGGUAAGCGGAAUUCCUGGUGUAGCGGUGAAAUGCGUAGAUAUCAGGAGGAACACCGGUGGCGAAGGCGGCUUACUGGACGAUCACUGACGUUGAGGCUCGAAAGCGUGGGGAGCAAACAGGAUUAGAUACCCUGGUAGUCCACGCUGUAAACGAUGAAUGCUAGGUGUAGGAGGUAUCGACCCCUUCUGUGCCGCAGUAAACACAGUAAGCAUUCCGCCUGGGGAGUACGGUCGCAAGAUUAAAACUCAAAGGAAUUGACGGGG